Molecule: ribosomal RNA, 303 nt
Filed under: Triticum aestivum (bread wheat)
Lineage: Eukaryota; Viridiplantae; Streptophyta; Magnoliopsida; Poales; Poaceae
Description: partial small subunit ribosomal RNA
Source: RNAcentral
AUGUUGUCUAUCAAACUUAGAUGGCACAGAACAAAGAAGAGCAUCUACAGCAAUCAGAGCCACCAUAGUUGGAUAAUUGGGCAUCCAAAAUCGGCAAAAUUCAUGCCCAGGACGCGGCGAAACAGGGCGCUGCCAGCAAGUAGAUCUCUUCCUGUCAGAGGAACAGUACCUGAUCAAGAACGGGAGAAGGAAGCGCCGCGAAUCCCGCGGAGCGCCAUAGAAAUCGAUCGGGAUCGAUCCCGUGAAGCGAGCGGGCGCCGAUUUGGUGCGCGUCUGGCCGCCUUGCAAGCUCGCUCUUGGUAG